AUGGACAUCAUAAAGAUCUUUUUGGGUUCCUUCUUUCAGGUCCUGCUCGACAAGUUGUUUUCCAUGGGAUUGAACUUUGCACAACGAGAAGGAACGGGCGCCUUGCUUCAUCAGUGUAAGGGGAUGCUAGGGACAAUCACUGCAGUGCUUGAUGAUGCAGAGGACAAGCAACUCAACGGUGAACCUCUAGCGAAACAGUGGCUGGACGAUGUUAAGGACUUGGCCUAUGAGAUGGAAGACUUGCUCGUUGAGCUUGAGAUCGAAGUCACUCAAGCUAAGUCGAACACAGAAUCUAGCACAAGCAUAGGUCAGGUGAAAAGGAAGUUCUUUGACUGUAGCCGAUCGCAGUCACUCGUGUGUGAAACCAAGUUACAAGAGAUCAAAGGCAAGUUUGAAGAUAUUGUCAACAGGAAGGCUCUCUUAAGCUUGAGAGAGAAUGUUGUGGACAGAUCUCACUACACCAACAAAAGGCUCCCCAGCACUUCUUUGCCGGAGCCUCAGUUUUUGGGUAGGGAGAAGGAAGAAGCAGAGAUACUCAAACUACUGACAGAUGAAGCCGAAAAUGCCGAUAGCGGGCUGAGCACAAUCUCCAUAAUUGGGAUGGGCGGUAUUGGAAAGACGGCAUUGGCUCAACGGUUGUAUAGUGAUGCCAAAGUGAGUAAUUGUUUCGAGAGGAGAGCAUGGGUCUAUGUUUCAGAUAUUUUUGAUCUUCUUGACAUAACAAGGACUGUUUUGCAGUCAAUCACCGAAAAGCCUUGUGAGGACAAAGAUCUUGACAGGCUUCAAAUAAAGUUGAAGGACAGUCUAUCUAGAAAGAAGUUUCUUGUGGUCUUAGAUGAUGUAUGGAUUGAGAAGUACGAACAUUGGACUUCCCUCUUAAAGCCAUUUGUAGAGGGGGCUAAGGGAAGCAAGUUCAUCAUCACGACACGCAAUCGGAAUGUUUGUUCCAUAAAAGCAACUUUGCGAUAUUUUUUGGAGGAGUUGUCUGAUGGUGAUUGUACUAGCUUAUUAGCCUAUCAUGCUCUCGGAGCAAAAAAUUUUGAGAGGCACCCACAUUUGGAAAUAUUAGGCAAGGAAAUAGCUAAAAAAUGUGGAGGCUUACCUUUGGCAGUGAAGAUAUUGGGUGGUCUCCUACAGAAUAAAGAGAAUCCCAACGAAUGGAAAGCUAUCUUAAAUAACAAAGUAUGGGAUGUAGUGAGAAGAGAAAAAGAUGAGGUUCUUCCAGCUUUGAAAUUGAGCUAUGUGCAUCUUCCUUUUAUUUUGAAGAAAUGUUUUGCUUAUUGCGCCAUAUUUCCAAAAGGCUACGAAUUUGAGAGGGAUGAGCUGGCACUCUUAUGGAUAGCAAAUGGCUUUUUAGAUGGACAAAAAGCAAAAGAUAUCUUGAUGUUGGGACAGGAAUGCUUUGAUGAGUUAGUAUCUCGGUCCUUUUUUCAGCAAUCUAGCGUUAACACAUCAAAAUUUUUUAUGCACGAUCUUUUGAAUGACCUAGCAAAGUCAAUCGCAGAUGCGACAUACUUUAUCUCUGGGGAGUCUCAGGUAGUGAAUGAUAAAGAGAAAGCUCGGCAUGCAUCAUUGGUCUCACAAUAUGUUACAUCAGAAAGCUUGAGAGCAUAUGCUGGAAUGAAGAAGGUGGAAGAAGUUAGAGAUGCAAUUGGUGCAAUUAGAAAGCAGAGCCUUAGCAACUUAAUCUUGCUUUGGGAUAAAGAUUUUGGAAAUCACCGGAACUAUGAGCGCGAAGCACAGCUCAUUUUGAAAGCCAGAAAAUGAAAUUUAUUGGAUUGGAGGCCUUACCCUGCUGAUCAAGUUGUGAGAGAUAUCAGCAGGAAGUUUGGUUUUGUGCUCUUCAAUGGCUCUUCUAAAACCGCUUUUCUGGCCUCUGAUGUUGAUGGAAGUGUUGCUUUCUUCUGGGGAAGUGAUUCUGGGGGCAAUCUUGUUCUCUUAGAUGAUGCAGAAGUCGUGAAGAUGGGCUGUGGGAAAUCUUUCGCACCAUUCCCUAAAGGAUGCUACUUCACCAGCUCUGGAGGUUUGAGGAGUUAUGAGCACCCACCGCAUGAGGUGAAGCCGGUUCCUAGGGUGGACAGCUCUGGCCAUGUGUGCGGCGCCACAUUCAAAGUGGAUGCGGAGACUAAGAACUGCAGCAUGCCUAGAGUUGGGAAUGCUGCGAACCGGUCCUCAUUCUACUGAGUGGUAUGGUUUAUGGCCCUUUUUUGGACAGGCCUUUAGCUAUUGGAGGGCCUUCUGUUGCCAAUAACCCAGUCACGCUUUCUCAUACAUUGAAAACUUUUCAGCUCUAAUGGUUGGUUACUCUAUGUUGAGAGUUUGAGAUGACAUUGUAUUAUGCAGCUGUAUAUGUUGCUUAUAAAACCAAGCCUUUACAGAACCUGAUCAUGCUUUGUGAAGUAAUAUCUUUCUGGCAUUUCAUUUAGCCAUCAUGCAGAGU
RNA transcript from Eucalyptus grandis, 2440 nucleotides. It is a transcript of the gene named putative disease resistance RPP13-like protein 1, with no coding region annotated. The record is from RefSeq and is a predicted model, not a curated record. Lineage: Eukaryota; Viridiplantae; Streptophyta; Magnoliopsida; Myrtales; Myrtaceae. The transcript is spliced from 5 exons.